Molecule: ribosomal RNA, 477 nt
Filed under: uncultured Caldilineaceae bacterium
Lineage: Bacteria; Bacillati; Chloroflexota; Caldilineae; Caldilineales; Caldilineaceae
Description: bacterial SSU rRNA
Rfam family: Bacterial small subunit ribosomal RNA
Source: RNAcentral
GAUGAACGCUGGCGGCGUGCCUAACACAUGCAAGUCGAACGUGAAGCCUACGCUGAUUACUUCGGUAUGAUUUGUGGGUGGAAAGUGGCGAACGGGUGAGUAACACGUGGGUGACCUGCCUCAAAGUGGGGGAUAACCAUUGGAAACGAUGGCUAAUACCGCAUGUAUCUGUUCGUGUGGGAACACGAAUGGGAAAAGCUCCGGCGCUUUGAGAGGGGCCCGCGGUCGAUUAGCUAGUUGGUAGGGUAAAAGCCUACCAAGGCAACGAUCGAUAGCUGGUCUGAGAGGACGAUCAGUCACACGGGAACUGAGACACGGUCCCGACUCCUACGGGGGGCAGCAGUGAGGAAUAUUGCACAAUGGGGGCAACCCUGAUGCAGCAACGCCGCGUGGGGGAUGAAGGCCCUUGGGUCGUAAACCCCUUUUCUGCGGGAAGAGAAAGGACGGUACCGCAGGAAUAAGUCACGGCUAACUACG